UGUCAUGCCAUCCGGUCCUGGCACAUUUUAUGGAUGCAUCAUAAAUAAAGCCUCUUUAACCUCUUCCUCCGUCGCUAGCUUCAACAAAUGUUGAUUCAUCUGAGGAGUAAUUCCUGGUGUAACCUCUGUAAGGAAACUAUCGAAUUCUGAUGGGGAGGUGGUACUGAAUAGAUCUUCAAAAUAAUCUAUCGCCACCUUUUCCACACAAUUAUCCUCUGUAAUCCAAUUCUCAUCCGCAUCAUGUAAUCCAACAAUUCUAUUACGGACCCGUCGUUGUUUAGUUAAAGCAUGAUAAAACUUUGUGUUAAGAUCCCCAGAUGAAUACCACAUGUUCCUGCUUUUCUGGUGCCAGUAAUCUUCCUCAUCCUUAUAUGCAUCUUGUAAUUUCCUAGACACCUCCAAAAUAUCCUC
This 411-nucleotide long non-coding RNA is filed under the name Brassica napus (rape). RNAcentral describes it as "long non-coding RNA (BNAP_LNC016100)". The record is from RNAcentral. Lineage: Eukaryota; Viridiplantae; Streptophyta; Magnoliopsida; Brassicales; Brassicaceae.